This 497-nucleotide ribosomal RNA is filed under the name uncultured bacterium. RNAcentral describes it as "partial 16S ribosomal RNA". It matches the Rfam family "Bacterial small subunit ribosomal RNA", at positions 28 to 507 of the family's 1533-position model. The record is from RNAcentral.
GAUGAACGCUGGCGGCGUGCCUAAUACAUGCAAGUCGAGCGAACGGACGCGAAGCUUGCUUCUCUGAUGUUAGCGGCGGACGGGUGAGUAACACGUGGAUAACCUACCUAUAAGACUGGGAUAACUUCGGGAAACCGGAGCUAAUACCGGAUAAUAUUUUGAACCGCAUGGUUCAAAAGUGAAAGACGGCCUUGCUUUCACUUAUAGAUGGAUCCGCGCUGCAUUAGCUAGUUGGUAAGGUAACGGCUUACCAAGGCAACGAUGCAUAGCCGACCUGAGAGGGUGAUCGGCCACACUGGAACUGAGACACGGUCCAGACUCCUACGGGAGGCAGCAGUAGGGAAUCUUCCGCAAUGGGCGAAAGCCUGACGGAGCAACGCCGCGUGAGUGAUGAAGGUCUUCGGAUCGUAAAACUCUGUUAUUAGGGAAGAACAUAUGUGUAAGUAACUGUGCACAUCUUGACGGUACCUAAUCAGAAAGCCACGGCUAACUACGUG